CAACUUUUAACAACGGAUCUCUUGGUUCUCGCAUCGAUGAAGAACGUAGCAAAGUGCGAUAACUAGUGUGAAUUGCAUAUUCAGUGAAUCAUCGAGUCUUUGAACGCAUCUUGCGGUCGUUGGUAUUCCAACGACCACGCCUGUUUCAGUAUCAAA
Molecule: ribosomal RNA, 156 nt
Filed under: Mucor piriformis
Lineage: Eukaryota; Fungi; Mucoromycota; Mucoromycetes; Mucorales; Mucoraceae
Description: 5.8S ribosomal RNA
Rfam family: 5.8S ribosomal RNA
About the family: 5.8S ribosomal RNA (5.8S rRNA) is a component of the large subunit of the eukaryotic ribosome. It is transcribed by RNA polymerase I as part of the 45S precursor that also contains 18S and 28S rRNA.
Source: RNAcentral